RNAcentral lists this transfer RNA (64 nucleotides) under Nipponnemertes punctatula. RNAcentral's name for it is "tRNA-Leu". The record is from RNAcentral. Lineage: Eukaryota; Metazoa; Nemertea; Enopla; Monostilifera; Cratenemertidae.
GCUAUGUUGGCAGAAAAUUGUGUUUGUUUUAGGUGCAAAAAAAUGUGGAGAUUCACACAUGGUA